UCACUGCAAAACGUAUAAAAACAAAUUCUCGUUUCCAAAAUCCGCACAUAACUACACGUCAUACAUACAUACAUAACUUCUCCGCAUUCAAUUGCCAAGAAGAAUAAAUUCAAAAACAUUCACAUUUUCGAUUAUUAAGCUGAAAUUUGAGAUCAACAUGAAAUCAGCGGCCUGUCUCGUUCUCUGCAUGUUUUUCGUGGGUACCCUCUUCUUCCUGGUUGAGGUGGAUGGACAAACGCCCCCAUGCAAGCUGAAAUGCUACGAAUAUCUGGAUUGCAAAAAUUCAUGGACCAAUUUCCACAACGCGAGCCCAGACACGGUAGCAUUUUUCUGCAAGAAGGAGGAACUGGCGCCUGGAUGCGAUUGUGGGUGUAUUUGCCAAUGAUAACAACCAAGGAAAUUGUGUUGGUAAUUAACCUUCCGAUUAUUAUAUACAUUUUCUCUGAUUUGUGUAUAUGAUGAAUGUGAAAUUUUAAAUAAUUACUUAAAUAAAAAUGUUUUAAUUGCUUGCAAUGUGUAAUAAUUACACACCUGUAUAAAACUAUUUUAACAUGAAAUUU
Folsomia candida is the source of this 560-nucleotide long non-coding RNA. RefSeq lists it as uncharacterized. Lineage: Eukaryota; Metazoa; Arthropoda; Collembola; Entomobryomorpha; Isotomidae. The transcript is spliced from 2 exons. The record is from RefSeq and is a predicted model, not a curated record.